UACGUAGGGUGCGAGCGUUGUCCGGAAUUAUUGGGCGUAAAGAGCUCGUAGGCGGUGUGUCACGUCGGCCGUGAAAACCUGCAGCUUAACUGUGGGCGUGCGGUCGAUACGGGCAUCACUGGAGUUCGGCAGGGGAGACUGGAAUUCCAGGUGUAGCGGUGAAAUGCGUAGAUAUCUGGAGGAACACCGGUGGCGAAGGCGGCAUCCUGGACCGACACUGACGCUGAGGCGCGAAAGCCAGGGGAGCAAACGGG
Molecule: ribosomal RNA, 254 nt
Filed under: uncultured bacterium
Lineage: Bacteria
Description: partial 16S ribosomal RNA
Rfam family: Bacterial small subunit ribosomal RNA
Source: RNAcentral